This 460-nucleotide ribosomal RNA is filed under the name uncultured bacterium. RNAcentral describes it as "partial 16S ribosomal RNA". It matches the Rfam family "Bacterial small subunit ribosomal RNA", at positions 338 to 795 of the family's 1533-position model. The record is from RNAcentral.
GCUACGGGCGGCAGCAGUGAGGAAUAUUGGUCAAUGGACGAGAGUCUGAACCAGCCAAGUAGCGUGAAGGAUGACUGCCCUAUGGGUUGUAAACUUCUUUUAUAUGGGAAUAAAAUGUUCCACGUGUGGGAUUUUGUAUGUACCAUAUGAAUAAGGCUCGGCUAACUCCGUGCCAGCAGCCGCGGUAAUCCGGAGGAUCCGAGCGUUAUCCGGAUUUAUUGGGUUUAAAGGGAACGGAGGGGGAUUGUUAAGUCAGUUGUGAAAGUUUGCGGGUCAACCGUAACAUUGCCGUUGAAGCGGGCAGUCUGGAGUAAAGAAGAGGUGGGCGGAAUGCGUGGUGUAGCGGUGAAAUGCUUAGAUAUCACGAAGAACCCCGAUUGCGAAGGCAGUUCACUGGACUGCAACUGACACUGAGGCUCGAAAGCGUGGGUAUCAAACAGGAUUAGAUACCCUGGUAGUC